UGGGGAAUAUUGCACAAUGGGGGAAACCCUGAUGCAGCGACGCCGCGUGAGCGAAGAAGGUUUUCGAAUCGUAAAGCUCUGUCCUAUGGGAAGAUAAUGACGGUACCAUAGGAGGAAGCCCCGGCUAACUACGUGCCAGCAGCCGCGGUAAUAAGUAGGGGGCAAGCGUUGUCCGGAAUCACUGGGCGUAAAGGGUUCGCAGGCGGAAAUGCAAGUCAGUUGUGAAAGGCAGAGGCUCAACCUCUGUAAGCAAUUGAAACUGUAUUUCUUGAGAUGUGGAGAGGCAAGUGGAAUUCCUAGUGUAGCGGUGAAAUGCGUAGAUAUUAGGAAGAAUACCGGUGGCGAAGGCGACUUGCUGGACACAAACUGACGCUGAGGAACGAAAGCGUGGGUAGCAAACAGG
Molecule: ribosomal RNA, 403 nt
Filed under: Fusobacteriota bacterium
Lineage: Bacteria; Fusobacteriati; Fusobacteriota
Description: Fusobacteria bacterium partial 16S ribosomal RNA
Rfam family: Bacterial small subunit ribosomal RNA
Source: RNAcentral